AUGGUGGAGUCAAGAAUAAAUGAGUUCAGGGGUCCAGAGAACAGAAUGGAAAAGAAUUUUCUUGUGAAGAAAUCAGGAAUUCAAAGAAACAUCCAGCUCUUCCACCUCCCUCUCCUUUCUUCUGAUGCUAAAUUUCAUUCCUUCACUAUCCACUUUUCUUUAGUUGUGCCAUGAUUGGCUUUAUUUGCAGGAGAAUUACCUUAACACAAGUAAGAUGGUUUUGCUGCUGAAUGAAGGGAUCCCCAUAGGCACCUUUCCAUAACGUGCAUCAUCUACCACAGUUCUUCAGCUCAUUUGGACCUUCCUUAAGUUUUUGUGAAUGGAUCUUAGGCAGAGAUUCUCUCAAGCAUUGAAGGAUCUAGUAUGCACACUCACAUGAUUCCUCAGCUCUUAACUUGCUGCUACACUCUGGGCCAUUAUUUGAAAACAAAUAGCCCUGUUUCCUCUGCUUCCUAAACUAAACAGACGAUAAGAAAGAAGCAGGAGUAAUGAUGGAAGCUCAAGGUAUCAGGGGCCAACAAAGAGGACAUCAAUCCUCUUAAAGAGAGAAGCCUCAGUUGUUCUAUUAUGAUUUUGAAACUAAUCAUAACAAUUCAAGCUUAAUCCCAUAGUUGGUAGGGUGGGGGCCUUUGUUUAUAAUGUGACAUUUGAUUUCCUUAACAAUGUCUCUGGCAUUUUGCAUUAAAAUUUCACCUAUGUGAAGUGUACUGAAAUCUGUCUGACAUUUAUUUACUCUUUAUGUUUGAAAAAAAAAAUCCAUCAGGGAACUGUUUCAAAAAAGAUAGUAUUGCAACAGCUUUCUCUGAAAUGAAUAGGAUGAGAUAGCUUUUAGAAUUGUACCUUGUUUGCUUUUUUUUUUUUCUUCUUAAAUUAGAUUUUGGAUCUCUUGUCAAGUAAAAUAAUGUAAGAUUAUUCCGAGAAGAGCUCUUUUUUUUUUUUUUUAAAUUAGAAUUCAAGAGGGAAAACCUCUAACAACUUUAAAUUACACCAUCCCAGGCCAGCACCCUGAUCUUUAAAUGAAAUGCU
RNAcentral lists this long non-coding RNA (1026 nucleotides) under Anser cygnoides (Swan goose). RNAcentral's name for it is "lncRNA (ENSACDG00005008213.1)". The record is from RNAcentral. Lineage: Eukaryota; Metazoa; Chordata; Aves; Anseriformes; Anatidae.